GAUGAACGCUGGCGGCGUGCUUAACACAUGCAAGUCGAACGGGAAUUACUUUAUUGAAACUUCGGUCGAUUUAAUUUAAUUCUAGUGGCGGACGGGUGAGUAACGCGUGGGUAACCUGCCUUAUACAGGGGGAUAACAGUCAGAAAUGACUGCUAAUACCGCAUAAGCGCACAGAGCUGCAUGGCUCAGUGUGAAAAACUCCGGUGGUAUAAGAUGGACCCGCGUUGGAUUAGCUAGUUGGUGAGGUAACGGCCCACCAAGGCGACGAUCCAUAGCCGGCCUGAGAGGGUGAACGGCCACAUUGGGACUGAGACACGGCCCAGACUCCUACGGGAGGCAGCAGUGGGGAAUAUUGCACAAUGGGGGAAACCCUGAUGCAGCGACGCCGCGUGAAGGAAGAAGUAUCUCGGUAUGUAAACUUCUAUCAGCAGGGAAGAAAA
RNAcentral lists this ribosomal RNA (440 nucleotides) under uncultured bacterium. RNAcentral describes it as "bacterial SSU rRNA". It matches the Rfam family "Bacterial small subunit ribosomal RNA", at positions 28 to 451 of the family's 1533-position model. The record is from RNAcentral.